UACAGGGGGGGCAAGCGUUGUUCGGAAUUACUGGGCGUAAAGGGUUCGUAGGUGGCCACUUAAGUCAGACGUGAAAUCCCUCAGCUUAACUGGGGAACUGCGUCUGAUACUGGGUGGCUAGAGUCCGGUAGGGGAACACGGAAUACCCGGUGUAGCGGUGAAAUGCUUAGAUAUCGGGUGGAACACCAGUGGCGAAGGCGGUGUUCUGGGCCGGAACUGACGCUGAGGAGCGAAAGCGUGGGUAGCAAACAGG
Molecule: ribosomal RNA, 253 nt
Filed under: uncultured bacterium
Lineage: Bacteria
Description: partial 16S ribosomal RNA
Rfam family: Bacterial small subunit ribosomal RNA
Source: RNAcentral